This 253-nucleotide ribosomal RNA is filed under the name uncultured bacterium. RNAcentral's name for it is "partial 16S ribosomal RNA". It matches the Rfam family "Bacterial small subunit ribosomal RNA", at positions 524 to 776 of the family's 1533-position model. The record is from RNAcentral.
UACAGAGGUCUCAAGCGUUGUUCGGAUUCAUUGGGCGUAAAGCGCGUGUAGGCGGCCCGGUAAGUCCGCUGUGAAAGUCGGGGGCUCAACCCUCGGAUGCCGGUGGAUACUGUCGGGCUCGAGUACGGAAGAGGCGAGUGGAAUUCCUGGUGUAGCGGUGAAAUGCGCAGAUAUCAGGAGGAACACCAAUUGCGAAGGCAGCUCGCUGGGACGUUACUGACGCUGAGACGCGAAAGCGUGGGGAGCAAACAGG